RNAcentral lists this ribosomal RNA (160 nucleotides) under Syzygium smithii (lilly-pilly). RNAcentral's name for it is "5.8S ribosomal RNA". It matches the Rfam family "5.8S ribosomal RNA". Rfam says of the family: 5.8S ribosomal RNA (5.8S rRNA) is a component of the large subunit of the eukaryotic ribosome. It is transcribed by RNA polymerase I as part of the 45S precursor that also contains 18S and 28S rRNA. Functionally, it is thought that 5.8S rRNA may be involved in ribosome translocation. The record is from RNAcentral. RNAcentral also lists the same sequence under 8 other names. Lineage: Eukaryota; Viridiplantae; Streptophyta; Magnoliopsida; Myrtales; Myrtaceae.
UAACGACUCUCGGCAACGGAUAUCUCGGCUCUCGCAUCGAUGAAGAACGUAGCGAACUGCGAUACUUGGUGUGAAUUGCAGAAUCCCGUGAACCAUCGAGUCUUUGAACGCAAGUUGCGCCCGAAGCCAUUUGGUCGAGGGCACGUUUGCCUGGGUGUCA